GAGAAAUCUGCCCCAAACUUGGGAAUAACAGUCGGAAACGAUUGCUAAUACCGAAUACCUUCACGACGUCGCAUGGCGAUGUGAAGAAAGCUUUAUGCGGUUUGGGAGGAUCUCGCGGCCUAUCAGCUAGUUGGUGAGGUAAUGGCUCACCAAGGCAUCGACGGGUAGCUGGUCUGAGAGGAUGAUCACGCCACACUGGAACUGAGACACGGUCCAG
This 217-nucleotide ribosomal RNA is filed under the name uncultured bacterium. RNAcentral's name for it is "partial 16S ribosomal RNA". It matches the Rfam family "Bacterial small subunit ribosomal RNA", at positions 119 to 334 of the family's 1533-position model. The record is from RNAcentral.